UAUUAAAUUUUCCUUUACCUUUCCUUCAUCAUCCUCUACAGAGUGCCAUUUCGACGACGCACCAAAAUCUUGUAGAGAUGAUGAAGCUGCACCGCAUAAUCAAGAGGCAGAGGUGAUUGUUUGGGGGCGAAGAAUCCUAAGACACAGAUUGUACUUCGAUUGGUGUGAAGUCCAUGAUGAAGUUCGAGAGUGGGUACAGUGUGAGACUGUAUUUGAUGGAAGCAAGCUUGGAAUUGAACCUUAUGCGGUUGAGACCGAGGCUUGUGGCAGGAUCUGUUGAAUGAGAUACCAAAUCAUGGAAAAGGAUCAAGGCAUUUUUCACUUAACUACAAAAUUUACAUCAAUGAUGAAACAUGACCCAACUGGAACAUGACCCAAAUGAAGAAACACGUUUUGGUAUCAAAUGAUGGAAACCUAUUUUAUAUGAAAGUUGAAGUUACUUCCAUGGAGAUGAUGUGACUUGAUGUAGAAGUUUGAAAUGAUGAAUCAGAGUUUAUUUGGAGAAUGAGAUGGAUGUGUAUUUUGAAGGAAAUUGAGCCAAUUCUCAAUAAAAUGGUCUAGGGGAAGUAAAAAAGAUAAUCUAGUAAACUUUGAACAAAAGAAUAGCUGCCAAAUUGGUAGAAUAUUUCUAUAUCAUUUUCAAGUUGAAUUAACAAUACUUGAGUACUCUUAUUUAUCGAAGGGAGGAGUAAACUCAAGUCUCAAAGAAAAUAAAAAAGAUACAAGAGCACAAAAUGGGAUGAGAGCAUGUUCAAUAGGCAGAGUUGAAUUCAACAUCAGUUAGCAAUGGGUCAACUCUUUACCUGCAUGAUGACCAACUUGUCGAAACAUUGAUAAUGUUAAAUAACAUGUUUCAGUUUGUCAUUGUUGUUGAUAGGGGGAGCUUAGUCUCUUUAUAUCUUUGUUUUUUAUGAUGAAUGAUUAAAUGAUUAAUAAUGGUUUCG
Vigna angularis (adzuki bean) is the source of this 944-nucleotide long non-coding RNA. RefSeq lists it as uncharacterized. NCBI's taxonomy places the organism in Eukaryota, Viridiplantae, Streptophyta, Magnoliopsida, Fabales, Fabaceae. The record is from RefSeq and is a predicted model, not a curated record. The transcript has 3 exons.